Molecule: long non-coding RNA, 975 nt
Filed under: Ananas comosus (pineapple)
Lineage: Eukaryota; Viridiplantae; Streptophyta; Magnoliopsida; Poales; Bromeliaceae
Description: long non-coding RNA (ACOM_LNC027592)
Source: RNAcentral
UAGUUGAGGGAGUAUUCAAAUAUAUUAGGAAAAACUUCAAAUACCCUAUCCGUGGUUUCGCACUUUUUCACUUUAGUACCAUAUAAUUUAAAAUGUAUCAAGUUAGUACCUAUGGUUUCGCACUUUUUCCCUUUAGUACCUUGUGAUUUAAAGUGUAUCAAGUUAGUAUCUGUGGUUUUAUUUUUGUAUCAAAUUAGUACCCUGUGGUUUCAUUUUUCACUUUUUAUUAUCCAUUUCGAGAUAUUUUUUUCGUUAAAUCAGUGACAAAGUUUAAAUUAAAUGGUAGUAAAAUGAAUAUUCGAUAAGCAUAGGUAGGAUAUUUAAAGUUUUUUGUAUAUAAUUUAACGAAAUAUUAAACCACAGGGUACUAAAGUGAGAAAGUGCGAAACCACAUGAUACUAAUUUGAUACAUUUUAAACCACAUGGUACUAAAGUGAGAAAAUGCGAAACCACAGCUAACUUGAUACACUUUAAACCACAUGAUACUAAAAUGAGAAAGUACGAAACCACAGAGGGGUAUUUGAAAUUUUCCCAAUAUAUUAACCAUAUAAGAAUUGGACUUUCACAGUUCCCUCGUAUGAAAAAAUCUAAUUAGUUAUCUCAAAUAUCCUCUUGUAUUUUCAUCCACGUAAAGAAAGAGCUUGUAACGAAUUUGUUAUGGAAUCUUUUGUAUUUCAUUUUUAGAAGAAUUAGGGUCUGUGGGCUGAGGCUGAGAAAGGCCCAAGCCAGUCAGCCCAUGGUAUAUGGCUCAAUUUGUGUGGCAUUAUUAAUAUACCAGUUAAUUACCCGCGCGAUGCUGCGGAUUUAAAAUAUUUUAACUUCAAAUUUUAAUUAAAAUAUUUAUAUUAUUUUAAUUUUUAACUAUUAAUUAUAUAAUUUUAAAAAAAAUUUGAAUAAAAAUAAUGUAAAUUGGUUUAUGUGCUACAAAAUUUUUUGUAAGAAUUUGUAAGUAACUAAAUAAUUUUAUAAAGGAAU